This 521-nucleotide ribosomal RNA is filed under the name uncultured archaeon. RNAcentral's name for it is "bacterial SSU rRNA". It matches the Rfam family "Archaeal small subunit ribosomal RNA", at positions 325 to 849 of the family's 1478-position model. The record is from RNAcentral.
ACGGGGUGCAGCAGGCGCGAAAACUUCACAAUGUGCGAAAGCGCGAUGAGGGAAUCCCAAGUGCUUGCUCGUAAGAGUAAGCUGUUUUUAUGUCUAAAAAGCAUGAAGAGUAAGGGCUGGGUAAGACGGGUGCCAGCCGCCGCGGUAAUACCUGCAGCUCAAGUGGUGAUCACUAUUAUUGGGCCUAAAACGUUCGUAGCCGGUUUGGUAAAUGCCUGGGUAAAUCGUGUAGCUUAACUAUACGAAUUCCGGGUAGACUGCUAAACUUGAGACCGGGAGAGGCUAGAGGUACUCCUGGGGUAGAGGUGAAAUUCUGUAAUCCUGGGGGGACCACCAGUGGCGAAGGCGUCUAGCUAGAACGGGUCUGACGGUGAGGGACGAAGCCCUGGGGCGCAAACCGGAUUAGAUACCCGGGUAGUCCAGGGUGUAAACGCUGCUUGCUUGAUGUUAGUUGGGCUCCGAGCCCAAUUAGUGUCGGAGAGAAGUUGUUAAGCAAGCUGCCUGGAAGUACGUCGCAAGAC